CCACCGUGUUCUUCAAUGAUAGUUAAUGAGGGCACAGACCACUAAUAAGCAGUGGAGGCAGCUUCUAGGCUAAGCUGAAAUUGGGCCUUCAAAUCUAAUCAAAAUUAGUCACUGCUGAGAAGAAACCAAAUGUGGUGUGUCCAUUUGGAUCUGGGGUUUGGAGAGGCCCUCCUUGUUUUCCGGGGCCGUGAGCCGUAGGAAGCAUGUCAACCAUGGCAAACCGGAGGAUCAGGAAAUCAAAGAUUCCAUUCACUUGCCCUGGAGUUUGAGGACUUCUUCCAGAAAAACUCUUUUUGUGAAACCAACACUGUGUAAUCAACAGUUGCGUGAAGAGGUCUGGGAGCAGUCCAUAUAAGAACAGCCUCUGUUCUGCAGGCAUAGGAGAACAGAAAAGGCUGAAACAUGCAUGUUGUUGCUUGAUUUCGUGCGUAGAGCACCCGGGACAUCUGAGAUUUGCUCCCUCAAAUCUCCAGCUUACAUGGUCCUCUGAUGAAGAAAGGAGAGAGCAGAAAAAAAAAAUGGGAGAGGAGGACAGAGAAAAAUUCAGGUCUGGCUUCAGUACAUUUGAAUUCUAGCUGUCUGGGGCAUUCUCCCAAAUAGUGAAUGCUAAUUAGACUGAGUGUGUCAAAUUGUGUCGUAUUUUUGUAAAUCAAACAAAUGUUCCCAGGAGAUAGGCGGGAGGCCACCAAACCCCAUUCAUUUAUGAUGCACCCUGAAUUUAAAGCCAGGACUCGGGAGGGGAUAGGUUGCUGUGAGUUUAUUUAAUCUUGUGACAUGUGCCUUGCACCUUCAAUGUCACCCUGAUAUAAGGUCUGCAGGUUUCACCUGAUGCUUUUAUCUAAACAGUUAAAAUGCUACUAGGGAUGGCUGUAGCACUUUUUAGAGACACUACGGAUAAACAAAUUGUUUUGAGGGCCACAGGUUGUAGGGCUUUUCUUCGGGAAAGGAGAAAUAGAUCCUAGUGCCAGGUCGGUCUUCCUAAAACACCUCUGCACGUUUCCCCCCUGCCCUUCAAACCCUCCAUGCUUUGCCCUUGUUUACUAAAUGAUGCCUAAAUGCCACAGAGGCAAAGCAUUCCCAGCCCGGAGCUCACUGUUGCUGCGUCUCACAUGCCAAGCAGAUGGGACUCUGCCGCGUUUCAUGGAUGGAUGUCAUGGAUCUGACUCUCCCAGUCUUUGCUGACGCCUGUCAUUCCUAAUUCCUGGGAGGCCCUCAGGGACUCUCUUCCCUAAAACCUAUCUCUUAAUCAUUGAAAUCCUGCUCACCACUAAAGGAGCAGUAUACAUACCCCCUUCUUCAAGGGGUUCACCCUAUUUCUUCUCUGUCUCCAGCUAGAAAU
Cebus imitator (Panamanian white-faced capuchin) is the source of this 1339-nucleotide long non-coding RNA. RefSeq lists it as uncharacterized. The record is from RefSeq and is a predicted model, not a curated record. Lineage: Eukaryota; Metazoa; Chordata; Mammalia; Primates; Cebidae. The transcript is spliced from 3 exons.